UCUUGUUUUUCUUUUCUUUAUUUGAUAGAAAAUUAAAUGUUAAAAUGGACAUUUAAAUAUUAUUUUACAUGCACGAAUGACGUGGCAUGUACACGUGGCGUUUUAAGUGGGUCUAAGAACUAUAUUAAGCCGCAUGAUAAUCUUUAGGGUCUUUGUUUGGACAUUAUAAAACAUCAAGGACUAAUUCAACCCCUGAGCAAAAGUUGAAGGACUGAAUUGGCUAUUCACCCAAAAAAAACUACAUUAAAAAUAUCUCAAAAUCAAUCUUAAAAUUAAGUUUGAAAAUUUAAAAUUAGGCUUUUUCUUUGGCUUAUUAGGCCAUCCGAUGGGAGCCCGCGAGUUGCCGAGAUCACAAAUCCCCAAUCACGCCGCAAUAUCCAGAUCCUGUCGACAUUGGCGGUGCUAGGUCAGGUGUUGCUGAUGGCGUCUUUGCUCCUCCUACGUCCUGCGGCUUCAGGCGGUGCAAAUCGGAUCCGAUUCCCCUCGAUCAUCUCCUCCUUCAGGAGGGGCCUAUCCUCCCACAUCGACGCCCAUGGUAAGGUGAUGUUUGUGGCAGAAGAGAAGGACCUUUGCUUCAGAUGAUUCCCUGUGGGCCUUGUAUGAGCAGUGGUGCAAGGCUUCUCUUCAACCAGAAGCGUGACCAUGCUGGCUGAGAUGGUUGAGCGCUUCGAAAUCUUCAAGAGAUCGACGUGUGCUCCUUGUGGACAGAUCGAGCUAACAAGGAAGCUAUCAGAGAUGGUCUGUCCCGCAGACGACUUGGAAUAAACAAGUUCACCGAUGGGAAGAUUUCAGAGCUCCAGGCCAAUAAAAUGCAUCAGGGCAUGGGCCGGUGUUCGGUGAUUCAAAGAGUCCUGUUUUGAAUCUAUCUCAAACUCCCCAGAAUCAAAUCAUCUUUAAUUUUGUGCACAUGGUGUUAUGCUUAAUGUUUAAGGUAGUGCUUCGGAACCAAAGUUGUGCUCUUGAAUUUGUAUUAUUAGCAUUUUAGCAAGCUAUAUAUAGCAGGCCGUGCAUACUUAACUUGUACCAAGCGAUAUAUGCCCUCUUCCGCAAAUAAAUGCUUUGCUCCUGCACGUCAUGCAUACUACUUAUGUCCCAAAAUAUAGCAAGUUCUGGCUAUGACAUGUAAUUUAAGGAACUAAUAACAUGGGAUAAAAUUAAUAAGCACCAGAUUAUAUGGCCAGGCCAACCAGUAAGACUCAUGACAGGAAUUAUUCAAUUCACUCCAAAACGCACAAGAAUUUGGGGGGUAAAUAGCUCUUUUGAUUGCACUACUACUACUACACGAUCAAAUAAUUCCGUAUUGCCCCUCAACUCCCAGAUGGAGUAGCCUCUUACCAUUUAGUAAUGUGCAGUUAGAAGGGUAAGUGCUCCAUGGCAAACCAAUUAUUUUGACACGUGCUUACUCCUGAUAAUUGUCGAACUCAAGUUUAUUGAGCUAAUAAAGCUUAGCGUCUUUCCAGUUACAUAGAACUACUUGCAUCCGGCAAAUAAUCUAAUGCCAAAUCUUCCAUGGAAGGCCACCUAAUGCAUGGAGCAUGCUCAUUUUAGAAGCAGAGAAGUGCCAUAUGUACGUAUCGUACGUAGUGUACCAUUGGCAGGACUUCAGAGCUUCUGAAAACUGGAGUAAAUUGAUGAGAAAAAAACACUAUCACAAUAAGAAAUGCAUUAAGGAUGUUCCCAGCACCAGUUAAAGACGGCUAUUUUCCAGUUAGUGCAAUUCAUGAGAUGAAGCAUUCAACUCAAUCAUACAAGAGUAUGGGCAAAGGCAGCUUAAACUUUGUUAUUGCACAAUUAAUAUUAGUACAUUGAUUGCAGAAAUCUUCAAAUGAUAGUAUACUAAUACAGGAGUGCACUGAAUUAUCCACAGAAUAGAAGAUAAUGAUCAGUAUCAUUCACACCCCACAGCUCCAAAGCUUAGCAUAAAUGCAUGAUCAUGUUUGCACCGCUAAGAAACCGUUGAAUCAGCAUAGCUAGCCUUUGUUGUUCUAAUUUGCACUAGUAUACUUUGUGGUUGCUUUUGGGGAUUGAAUUCGAUCAAAA
Oryza sativa Japonica Group (Japanese rice) is the source of this 2040-nucleotide non-coding RNA. The record is from RefSeq and is a predicted model, not a curated record. NCBI's taxonomy places the organism in Eukaryota, Viridiplantae, Streptophyta, Magnoliopsida, Poales, Poaceae.